RNAcentral lists this long non-coding RNA (322 nucleotides) under Capra hircus (goat). Its description in RNAcentral is "lncRNA (ENSCHIG00010004574.1)". The record is from RNAcentral. Lineage: Eukaryota; Metazoa; Chordata; Mammalia; Artiodactyla; Bovidae.
UAAAAGUACACUAGUAGUCUUUCCUGGAGAGAGCAAAGGCCACCAUGUGUCUGAGAACUGAAUUUGAAGUUUCAUUGACUUGGAAUCCACUGUAUUUCUAAAUCAUCAUCCAGCUUGAAGUGGAAGUUAAAGCUGAAAUAUAUUUCUAAAGGAAGGAGCUGGACUUUGGAUGGCUUCAAAGGGGUGCAGACGAGAGUUUUGUUUCUGAAUCUGCGAGGCUGCCUCAUCACCAGAAUAUAAAGAGAGACUUCAGUUCCCAGAAAGAAAGAAAAGUUCCACGCACUCAUCAAGGUCUCCUCUUCCUGGUAAUGUUGGCUGUGUU